Molecule: ribosomal RNA, 515 nt
Filed under: uncultured bacterium
Lineage: Bacteria
Description: partial 16S ribosomal RNA
Rfam family: Bacterial small subunit ribosomal RNA
Source: RNAcentral
GAUGAACGCUGGCGACGUGCCUAAUACAUGCAAGUCGAGCGAAUGGAUUAAGAGCUUGCUCUUAUGAAGUUAGCGGCGGACGGGUGAGUAACACGUGGGUAACCUGCCCAUAAGACUGGGAUAACUCCGGGAAACCGGGGCUAAUACCGGAUAACAUUUUGAACCGCAUGGUUCGAAAUUGAAAGGCGGCUUCGGCUGUCACUUAUGGAUGGACCCGCGUCGCAUUAGCUAGUUGGUGAGGUAACGGCUCACCAAGGCAACGAUGCGUAGCCGACCUGAGAGGGUGAUCGGCCACACUGGGACUGAGACACGGCCCAGACUCCUACGGGAGGCAGCAGUAGGGAAUCUUCCGCAAUGGACGAAAGUCUGACGGAGCAACGCCGCGUGAGUGAGGAAGGCUUUCGGGUCGUAAAACUCUGUUGUUAGGGAAGAACAAGUGCUAGUUGAAUAAGCUGGCACCUUGACGGUACCUAACCAGAAAGCCACGGCUAACUACGUGCCAGCAGCCGCAGUAA